AGAAUCAACGCUGGCGGCGUGCCUAACACAUGCAAGUCGAACGAGAAAGUGGAGCAAUCCACGAGUAAAGUGGCGCACGGGUGAGUAACACGUGACUAACCUACCCUUGAGUGGGGGAUAACCUAGGGAAACCUGGGCUAAUACCGCAUAAUACCUACGGGUCAAAGGAGCAAUUCGCUUAAGCGAGGGGGUCGCGGCCGAUUAGUUAGUUGGCGGGGUAAUGGCCCACCAAGACGAUGAUCGGUAU
This 247-nucleotide ribosomal RNA is filed under the name uncultured bacterium. Its description in RNAcentral is "partial small subunit ribosomal RNA". It matches the Rfam family "Bacterial small subunit ribosomal RNA", at positions 26 to 286 of the family's 1533-position model. The record is from RNAcentral.